Molecule: ribosomal RNA, 371 nt
Filed under: uncultured organism
Description: bacterial SSU rRNA
Rfam family: Bacterial small subunit ribosomal RNA
Source: RNAcentral
CAGAGGGUGCGAGCGUUGUCCGGAAGUCACUGGGCGUAAAGGGCGCGUAGGUGGCGGCCCAAGUCUGUGGUGAAAGCUCGAUGCUCAACAUCGAGUCGGCCACGGAUACUGGCGGCUGGAGCACUGUAGAGGCAGAUGGAAUUCCGGGUGUAGCGGUGGAAUGCGUAGAGAUCCGGAAGAACACCGGUGGCGAAGGCGGUCUGCUGGGCAGUAGCUGACACUGAGGCGCGACAGCGUGGGAGCAAACAGGAUUAGAUACCCUGGUAGUCCACGCCGUAAACGAUGGGCACUAGAUGCUUGGGGGAGCGACCCCCUGAGUGUCGCCGCUAACGCAGUAAGUGCCCCGCCUGGGGAGUACGGCCGCAAGGCUG